CAUGAUUAUAUCAUUAAUUUAUCAUGAUGCCACUUUCAAGUCAGAUAGGAUCUCAUAAAUUCCACCUUGAUUUGUAGGUGUGGUAUGUGUGUUUAGGGAGAAGGAUGUAGGUGAGGAAAACAUGAAGAAAAUCUUCUGAAAAAGAACAACUCAAUCAGCACAGGUGAGAAUAGAAGAACGCCUUGCUUUGCCUUUGAGAGUGGGCUACCAGAUCGAUGCGAGAUUGAAGAGUCGAUGGUGGGUGCAUUUAGAGCCUGGAAGCAAAGGAUGGAGGCUGCUCCUUGAAGCAGAGAGGCACGAUGGGAUCAGUCAAAGAGAUUGUAUGUGCUCCUCAGCAAUCUCAUCAUGCCUUGUUAGAAUAAGAUAAGGAUUGAAUGAAUUCAUUUCGAAGACAGAAGUCAAGUUUGGAGAAGAAUGUCCGAAACCAUUACUUAACAUCCAUUAGUCAAGCCUAUCUUAAUCAUGAGUAACAGAAACCCACUCUAUCUAGCACACACACACACACAAAAUGAAAAGGUGAGUUUUCUGCAAAGAUACAAGGUAUCUAACAAAACACAAGGGAAGGAAGUACAAUCGGACCUCAUCUCUGGAUGGUCCAGAAUUGAGCUUAUUCUCUAUGGCAGAUUAUAUUUUCCCAAAAUGGCCACAACAGUAUUUUACAUCCCACAUGCUCUUCCUGAGCCUUGCCACUGCUACACCAAAAUUUGAAAUCUAUGCCCUCUUCUCUUGAAACUGUGUGUGCCUUUGUGACUGCCUUAACUAAUACAGGACCAUGAUAGGAGAGUGUAGAUGACUUGUGAAGCAAAGUUAUGUCAUAAGAGUUGAUACGGCUUCCACCUGGCUCUCUCUGUUGGAACUUGCCCCUAGAACUCUUAGCCUCAAGAAGUCCAGCUGUCCAG
This 899-nucleotide long non-coding RNA is filed under the name Equus caballus (horse). RNAcentral's name for it is "lncRNA (ENSECAG00000054665.1)". Lineage: Eukaryota; Metazoa; Chordata; Mammalia; Perissodactyla; Equidae. The record is from RNAcentral.